This 164-nucleotide ribosomal RNA is filed under the name Diospyros lotus (date-plum). RNAcentral's name for it is "5.8S ribosomal RNA". It matches the Rfam family "5.8S ribosomal RNA". From Rfam's summary of the family: 5.8S ribosomal RNA (5.8S rRNA) is a component of the large subunit of the eukaryotic ribosome. It is transcribed by RNA polymerase I as part of the 45S precursor that also contains 18S and 28S rRNA. RNAcentral also lists the same sequence under 2 other names. The record is from RNAcentral. Lineage: Eukaryota; Viridiplantae; Streptophyta; Magnoliopsida; Ericales; Ebenaceae.
AAAACGACUCUCGGCAACGGAUAUCUCGGCUCUCGCAUCGAUGAAGAACGUAGCGAAAUGCGAUACUUGGUGUGAAUUGCAGAAUCCCGUGAACCAUCGAGUCUUUGAACGCAAGUUGCGCCCGAAGCCAUCCGGCCGAGGGCACGUCUGCCUGGGCGUCACGC